This 459-nucleotide ribosomal RNA is filed under the name uncultured bacterium. RNAcentral's name for it is "partial 16S ribosomal RNA". It matches the Rfam family "Bacterial small subunit ribosomal RNA", at positions 29 to 523 of the family's 1533-position model. The record is from RNAcentral.
AACGAACGCUGGCGGCAGGCCUAACACAUGCAAGUCGAACGAUAAGCCACCUUCGGGUGGUGGACAGUGGCAGACGGGUGAGUAACGCGUGGGAACGUGCCUUUCGGUUCGGGAUAACCCAGGGAAACUUGGGCUAAUACCGGAUACGCCCUCCGGGGGAACGAUUCAUUGCCGAAAGAUCGGCCCGCGUCGGAUUAGCUAGUUGGUGGGGUAAAAGCCUACCAAGGCGAUGAUCCGUAGUUGGUCUGAGAGGAUGACCAGCCACACUGGGACUGAGACACGGCCCAGACUCCUACGGGAGGCAGCAGUGGGGAAUAUUGGACAAUGGGCGCAAGCCUGAUCCAGCCAUGCCGCGUGGGUGAAGAAGGCCCUAGGGUUGUAAACCCCUUUCAGCGGGGAAGAUAAUGACGGUACCCGCAGAAGAAGCCCCGGCUAACUCCGUGCCAGCAGCCGCCGUAA